AAACCAACAGGGAUUGCCUCAGUAACGGCGAGUGAAGCGGCAAAAGCUCAAAUUUGAAACCCUCGGGAUUGUAAUUUGAAGAUUUGGCAUUGGAGAAAGCUAACCCAAGUUGCUUGGAAUAGUACGUCAUAGAGGGUGACAACCCCGUCUGGCUAACCGUUCUCCAUGUAUUGCCUUAUCAAAGAGUCGAGUUGUUUGGGAAUGCAGCUCAAAGUGGGUGGUAAACUCCAUCUAAAGCUAAAUACUGGUGAGAGACCGAUAGCGAACAAGUACUGUGAAGGAAAGGUGAAAAGAACUUUGAAAAGAGAGUGAAAUAGUAUGUGAAAUUGUUGAUAGGGAAGGAAAUGAGUGGAGAGUGGCCGAGGUUUCAGCCGCCCCUCGUGGGCGGUGUACUGCCGACGCCGAGUCAUCGAUAGCGAGACGAGGGUUACAAAUGGGAGCGCCUUCGGGCGUUCUCCCCUAACCCUCCACACUGCCACCGACGAC
RNAcentral lists this ribosomal RNA (486 nucleotides) under Yarrowia lipolytica. RNAcentral's name for it is "partial large subunit ribosomal RNA". It matches the Rfam family "Eukaryotic large subunit ribosomal RNA", at positions 62 to 510 of the family's 3401-position model. The record is from RNAcentral. Lineage: Eukaryota; Fungi; Ascomycota; Dipodascomycetes; Dipodascales.